Molecule: ribosomal RNA, 253 nt
Filed under: uncultured bacterium
Lineage: Bacteria
Description: partial 16S ribosomal RNA
Rfam family: Bacterial small subunit ribosomal RNA
Source: RNAcentral
UACGUAGGGGGCAAGCGUUGUCCGGAAUCAUUGGGCGUAAAGCGCGUGUAGGCGGUUCGGUAAGUCCGCUGUGAAAGUCGGGGGCUCAACCCUCGGAAGCCGGUGGAUACUGUCGAGCUAGAGUACGGAAGAGGCGAGUGGAAUUCCUGGUGUAGCGGUGAAAUGCGCAGAUAUCAGGAGGAACACCAAUUGCGAAGGCAGCUCGCUGGGACGUUACUGACGCUGAGACGCGAAAGCGUGGGGAGCAAACAGG